CUUGGACCUUGAGUUCGUGCUAAAGCGGAAUGUGGUCUUUCGGGGACGUUGGCUCUGGUACCACGACUCCUAUAGGAAACAACCAAGCUGGUAUUAGCUUCAAUGGUAGGGCAAUAAUACAGAUGCUGGAGCUAAAAGAAAAUUCACUGAAAGCUGUACGAACGUUUUGAGAAAAUAAAUCAACAUUGUAUGAGGGUGGGGGACAAAACUGUGAGGCAACAGUGAUAUAUUGGUAAGGUAGAUUUAGACUUGCUUUGUCUGCUGAAAAUUCAUCUCCAAAGAUAAAAAUAUAGGGAAGGCAAGGUUGAUACUUUACAACUUUGCAAAACAUUAAAGACAUACCAUCACUAUGUUUGAAGCCAAUGGUUGGUAAAAUUUGUUGAAGCUCUAGCUUUAGUUUUUUCAAACCAUAUGCCUAUAGAAUAAUCAAAAUAUAAUUAUCAAAACCUCUUCACUGCUCAGCUAGAGAGUUUGCACCUUUCUGACAAGAAUUUAUAAGUACCAGAACAAAAUUAAAGACUAAAUUGAAAAGAACCAAGGAAUGCUUUCAAUUACAAAUAUCUAUGUAUCUCUUUAAAAGCAAUAUUGAUGAUGAUAUUUUCUGUUUAAACCUUUGGAGCACACUUUGCUGGCUGAUAAGUAUGGAUGUUAUGAGCAAUAGCCAGGGUUUAAGGAGAUGUUGGCAUAAAAAAUCAUAAGCUUCUGUCACAAUAUUAAAACCUGUCAUCAAAUUAUAGCAAAAUACUAGAAUCACUGCUAAAGAUGCAUCUAGCAUCAUCAGAGAUGUAAUCAAUGCAGAUUUUAUUCUCUUUUUUACACAAUUAUCUAACUAACCCUAAUCCACUUGUCUGAAGACUGAAGCAUUUUCACAUCUGGGUCCCAGUUUCCAACAUUUGGUGAGUUCAAGCGUUGAUUGCCAAGUAGGGUAGGAGAACCUGCAAAAUCAAGGAAUUUUCAGCAGGUUCAUUGACAGUUUCUUGAAUCUUAUUUAAUUUUAUAUAGAUGCACAUACAAAAAGAUGCACUAUCUUAAAACAAAACAAAUGCUUAAAUAUAAAUUAAAAAGCAAAAUGUUGAUAUCAACGCCGGGGUACUUAUUCAACAUGUGUGUUCUAUUCUAUAGAGGCGAAUUUUUUAGGCUACCUUUAAUAGUGUAGCUGCAUUUUAAAUAAUGAUACACAUGUUUAACAAUGAAGUUGCUGUUGAUUAUGCUUAGUGAAAGAAGCAUCAUUGUUGUAUCAAAAUUCCUGCUUUGUUAAGGGGGCACAUAUUAGGAACUGGAAGGGACAUUUAGCAAAAAAUCUACACAGACCAUGGGGCUCUUUUUGGCAGAGGUGCUAAUCACCAAGGUGCUUCUUUGGUCAUUUAUGGUUGGAUUUUUCAUCAUAGAAAGUUUGAUAAUCUUUACCAGUAAUUAUGAUAACUUGCAGUCAAUGUAAGAUAAUCUCUUUAUUUAAUUGUUAUCUUUAAACUUAAACGUCAGUUUUAGUUUGUGACAAAAAAUCUACUAAAGGUAGAUGUUUAGAAAAAAUUUUCAUCAAAUCUGCGUAUAGAUUGCGACACGCACGUAUUUAUGAGGAAACAGGGUAAGCUAUAAAACUUCUGGUGCAGCUUUAUAAUUUACUGAACAACAUUCGGCGUAGGUUUACAAUUUACAUGGAUUCUACCGUGAAUUGUGGAUUCCACAUCCGUCAUUCAUAUGAGUUUUAAAAAUCAAAAAUUAUUUUCCCUUAAAAUGCUAGGCUCUAAAGAUAACCUAUGAAAAUAGAAAGGUUUCAUAUAGAAAAAAGAAACAUGUUCUUACCUGCUGGGCUUUCUUUCAGAGAAGUACCUUCAGGGGUGUCACGACGCUCAUGCUGGCCAAUGGGCCUAGGCCUAGAAAAUGGGGCUUGGUUGCUCGAGCUUGGCAUAACUAACACAUAAAACCACCCACCUAAAUUAUAUUUACAAUAAAGAGCCGAAUUUAUUUCAAUCUAAAUCAAUGUACGUUAGUAAUCCAGAGAUGUGUCUUCUUGGUCCGAUUUUGUAUCUACACGAGACGCCAUUUUGUUGACAUUGGCUCUAAGGUGGACGAAUAUUUGACAACAGCUGGUUGCUAGGCAUCGACCUUCCCGCCAAAAUUUUUUUUCAAUUUUAUUAAAAUUAUGCAUCUCCUACAUACCUGUCAAGCUAUUGUGGUGUGCUGCCGUAAGAUUUUGCCUAUCGAACCAAAAUUUUGUGUAUAAAACGGUAAUUAAGUCGCAUGAAAACCGUCUUUUUGUUCAUUCAUUAUCUAUUUGUUUCACAACGAAUUCAGAAUAAAAACUCAUUGCAUAAAAGGAAAAAGAAAAGACUGAGUAGGAACACUACAUAGUUCAGUUUACAAAGAUUCUUUCAAAAACCCAUCAUCAAUCAAAGCUUCAAUUUAUUUACAAUAUUUUUUCAAUACGCCAUAAGACUUGAAAAUCACCGCAAUUACGUAAGACUUCACUUGCGAAGAAAACGUAAGACUUCACGGGUAGGCUUAUGUGAGACAGAGUCAGGAAAACAUCACGGCCACUGGCCGGAGGAAGGUUGUAAUAACAAAAAGAUAUUUAGAGACCAAAAAUUUAGAAACUUGAGGAAGUUGAAUAAAUCUUAUUGCCUUUUUGCUGUAAGACAAAGAAUUCAAAUGUCAGACUUAAACUUACAAACCCUCUUCUUUUUCUUCUUUUUCUUCUUCCUCUUCUUCUCCUUCUUCUUCUUCUUCUCCUUCUUCUUCUUCUUCUCCUGCUUCUUUUUCUUUAUAGCUGUAUCGAUUUAAAGGCGCUUGAAAGCGAUUUCUUCAGCAACUUUGCAAAUGUUUUCAGUCAACGUUUUCAAUAAUUUUCUGUUUUCAGCGAGGUCACGAAUUCUUCUUAGAUCAUUUUGUUUUUCAAACUGUUGGAGAAUGUUGGAUUUUCUUCCAAUGUCUUUUUUAUGUCGUUUUGCAAAGUUGGAGCAAUGGUUGUCCAAGAUAGACCACGAAGCAGCUUGUUAGUUGUGCUUUCAAAACAGAAGUCCAUGACUUUUUUUGUUGGGCAAUUUCGAUCUAAUCAGAGAACGUGUCCAAACGCCCGAGCCCCCCCCAAACCCCCAUAAUUUCCGCCACUGAUAUCAGUUAGGAUUUUCAUCAGAUCUUCUCUUACUAUCGUGUCAAAGGUGGACGACAUAUCAAUUCCGGUUAUGUAUAUCUCACACUCUUCUUUUUGGACUUUAGCAGCUACCCACCGAUAAGCCCAAACAAAAUCACUUUUGCUUCGGCUGGUUCGAUAAGCGCUCUGUGAUUCAGAAAGAUACGCUUCGUAGGUUGGUUAAAUAAGUAGGAUGUUCGAAAGUAUUUUUCGGACGAUUAGGAGGAGAUUUACUGGUCUCAAGUUCUUGACUGUUCCUUUCGGGUUGCCUGGUUUUUGAAGCGGCUAUAAAAUUCCACUGCCGAGGUCUAAAGAUAGACGUUCUUUGAUAAGAUGAUUGAGUAAUUCUUUGAUAAAAAUAUCAAGUUCUUCUGCUGCAUAUUUCACAAGUUCCGCUGUUAAUCUAUCAGGUCCUGCUGCUCCAUUAUUAUUCAGAUUGUUAACUGCAUGUCCAACUUCAUUGGUUGUUAUUGGGUUGUCAAGUUUCUUUGUCUCUCCUACAAAGACCGGUACUUUUUCUACACUCUCGUCAAAGAAAUGUUGCUUGAAGAGAGUCUUAACUGCUUUAUAUAUCUCUCGAGGAUUCGAAAUACAUUUUCCUUCUUUGUCGUAUAUAAAUGGAUUUUCAUAACUCGUGCGGUUCAGCAUUCUGACUGCUUUGAAAAUCUUGGAUUCUUCAUGCAAGUUCUCAACAUCUCUCACUAUAUCAUCAAUCUCUUUAUCUCUAUUUUCAAUUACCUUCUGUUUGCUGCUUUUCAAUAUUCUAUUCCUUUGGUGCUCCAAUUUCUCAUGUUUUUCUGCUUCUUUACACAAUGUUAUCUGUACCCUCAGUUGCUUCUGUUCCUCUGAUAUUCCCUUUAUUUCGUUGUCAUAAAUCCUUCCGUGGUUUCUAUUUAAUCUUUCCUUAGUACCCAGUGUUUCCACUGUUUGCAAAAUCACCUCCACUGCUUCAUUCCAUCUUUGCUGGUCAUUAUCAUGUUGUUUAGUUUCGAUCUUGUUGGUGUUGGUUUGUGAAGAUUUCUUGUAAUUCUCUCUCGCUUUCAAUAUCUGUAGUUUAUUCGUGUUUAUUGUCACAGGCAUCUUUGAUUUGCUUUUUUUGAAAAGAAAAAUACCUCUCACAUCUCACUGAGUUACAACUAAUCGGUGAUCGCUAUUGACUUUUGUUCCUGCAUAUUAUCUUGCGUUUUGAAGAGUGUUCUUUUGAGAUGAAUGGCACAAGAUGUAGUCGAUUUGGUUGAAAGUUUUGACCAUUUCAUUACUAUUUUUAUUCUUAAAUGUGUUUUCCCACGUUGUUAUGUGUCUAGAUGGAUGCUUAAAAGAGCUGUUUGUAAUGAAAAGAUUGUUUACGCUACAGAAAUCAAUCAUUGUUUGUGCAGAUGUAUUUCGUUUUCCUUUUGAAUAUGAACCAAUACACGAUUCAUCUUUUUCCUCCCUAUCUGUGCGUUAAAAUUUCCGGCAAUCAGUAGCAACGAUGUCCUUGUAUUGUUGUCUGUUUUGAUCUUGUUAAGCCUUGGCCAAACUGGGCAACAUUGUUGCCUGACAAUGUUGCUUGAAAUUUUGUUGAUUUUUUUGUCGUCGAAACAUGGUGGCCAAACUGGGCAACAUUGUCGUGCAGCAUCUUUUGCUGAUGUUGUCAAAACAGCGCGCGAAAUUUAAAUUGAUAAGUGGUUUCAAAAGUUUGGAUAAGUAUGGCUGAAAGAAAGCAAGCUGCAGCCACUGGAAGCUGAUUUUGACUCAGCACAACACCAUCGUGUUGCUUUUAGCACCCUUAGAGCACUCGUAGAAGCAGUAGCAUUUGGCUGAUUUGUUGUUUUCAAGAACUUGCACUUGGACUUGUUUCAGACGAGACCUUUAUAUUCUUCCUCUCCAUGGUUUACUUCCCAUUCUGCAAAAUCAACUUCGAAGCUUAAAUUUUGACAGGCCAUUUUUAUUGAAUCGAGUUGAGGAUAUUGUUUUGCAAUACAACACUGCGCAUGUUGAUUUUUUCUCAGAUUGUAAAUUGAGGUGAAUUGUUGCCCGACAAUGUGGCCAAACUGGAAAACAUAGGGCUGAGCAACAAAUGUUGCUGAAAAAUAUUUGAGCAUGUUCAAACAUUCGAGCAACAAAUUUCUUAAUGAAUUUAUCGGCUGACAUGGUGGCCAAACUGGACAACAUUUGAGCAACAUUAUGAAUUUGUGAAUGUUGCCCGACAAUGUUGCCCAGUUUGGCCAAGGCUUUAAUUGUGUUCGCUAGGUCUGUGAACAACUGAUCUAACUGAACUGGAUUUUUUUGAACUAUGUCUGUGUGUGGAGCAUAUAAAUUUAUGAUGGUGAUACAAUGUUAUUUGUGCUGAUUUUAAAGUUUUGUUGUCAACUGUCUUCAUUUGCAAAAGUUUUAAGUGUUGUAGUUCUCAACUUUUUGACAGUUGAAUAUAAAGGUGUUUUGAGUACCCCAUUUUGUUGACCAAGCCCAUUUUGAACCCAUUAAAAACUAUAAAGGUUUUGCAAUAUGAUAUUUUGGCCGCAGGAAGGUUGUCAACUUUUCUGGACUUUUCUGUGAGAAUAUUAUUUCAUUGAAAGUAGAGAAGAUAACCAGUGAACGUUGCUCGUCGUCAUAUCAUCUCAGCAAUAGUACAUUUAAUAUCUUUAGGGGGAUCGCAUCAAAAAUAAGAUUCAAGAAAAUAAAAAUUUUAAUCAAAGGUUUCCAAGAAAGUUUUUGGGGACUUUGGCUUACAACCUUAAGAUUUGAAAAUGGCUUUGAAAAAAGCAAACAUUUGAGUAAACUAAAGCUUUUCUUCUGACACUCUUCAGAGUUUAAAAUGUCAGAACAUAGAUCAAAAACUCUACGCUAGGAAACUGCAACACGAUCGGGUGAAAUCAGUAUUAACAAUGAAAUGUACUAUCAAAAGGCCUACCAUAUAAAAAUACAACACAAGGAAUAGGCCAGAUCACCAUGUGCAAAAACUAAUAUUAGUGUACACCAAAAGAGGUUUUUUGUACAUUGCACUGGUCCAAUUGCUUUGAAUGGAAUCCAUCAUAAGAUUUAAAAAAGAACUGAGCUUCCACCUUUUGAGCUAAAAGAAGUCAGCUUUUUUAAUUUCUGAGUUACCUUAACAAAAUUUUAGGGUAAUGUAGUUUUUUAUCAUAUAACAUAACUUUUAUUUUUACUGAAUUGAUAUUGUAAAUAAGAUUUAUGAAAUGAAAUGAGUGGAAUCUGGCUUAAUGUACAUUGCUGCCUUAUAUACAUGUAUGGGACUCCAAAACUUUGAAGCCAAAAUAAACCUAAAUUACACAUUUAAACAGGGUCUACUGAAAAACGCGUAAGGAAAAGUCUAUGGUACACAAGUAAACACGACCUUUAAUAUCAUUCCACUUUCAUAUUCAUUAGGUUACACAGCAAAUUCAUAUAAACGGACAAGAAAAGCAUUAAUAGUCAGGCCAUAUGCCUUGUGCAUCCUUAUUAGCUCUAGCGUUCUUUCCUUAAACACCCAAAAAGGAGGAAGAUCAACAUCAACUCCUCAAUUAUUUGCGACAAUUUGCUGAAAAAUGCCAUGUCUCAUUGAUAUUGUUUCCGAGGGGGUCGCUUCCAACGAUCGGAUUUCAUUCCAACAGAGAAACAAGUGCUUCCACUACGUCACCUUUAUGCUCCCUAAGUCUUUUUUCUGCAAUGACCUGGCUUAUUUCCAUUUGGUCUACAAUUAAGUCCACGUCUUCUUUUUUUAUUUUCACUUGAGCGAGUUCUUUCUCGCGUUGGGCCUUUUCCAAUCUCUCCUCAGAAUGACGGCCUUCUAUUAAAGAUACGGCAUUGGCAAUGUCUGAAGAAGAUAUUUCCUUAUCUUCUUCAUAGUCAGUGAUUUUCUCCAAGUCAGUAGAUGCUUCUGCUGCAUGGGUUUUUUGGUGUAUUUGCGAGGCAUCUUCGCCGUUUACCUCUUCCUCCUGGGUCGCCAUUU
Rhopilema esculentum is the source of this 7058-nucleotide non-coding RNA. The record is from RefSeq and is a predicted model, not a curated record. NCBI's taxonomy places the organism in Eukaryota, Metazoa, Cnidaria, Scyphozoa, Rhizostomeae, Rhizostomatidae.